Molecule: long non-coding RNA, 391 nt
Organism: Xenopus laevis (African clawed frog)
Lineage: Eukaryota; Metazoa; Chordata; Amphibia; Anura; Pipidae
Exons: 3
Source: RefSeq, a predicted model, not a curated record
UGGUGUCUCUUCUUCCUUGCAGAACUCUGAUUUUGGAAUAUCCUGAGGGCCCUGGGAUGUUUCGUCUUCAUUGGCUGGAACAUCGCUAUUGGGAUUAGUUAAUUGAGGCUGUUGUAGCUCAGGGUUGACAGAUUCUGCCUCCUCAGCUUCUUCAGCUGCAGGUAUGAAACAGAAGAACAGCUUUAUAUUUCCAUCUGCCUUACCUCAGUAUGCCGGUCCCGACAUGAGAUGCCACACACUUUGGCGCCCAUCUUGAAACUCCUGUACAAGAAAAGAAAGGUUGUUAUAAGUCACUGCUUUAGUGGAGAUAAAGAAUACAAGUGUGUGUUGCUGCUGGUAAAUGACAAGCUGAAGACAAGCACGUCUCUGUAACCUCACAGCUACACACCUG